GGGUUGUGAGGUUAAGCGACUAAGCGUACACGGUGGAUGCCCUGGCAGUCAGAGGCGAUGAAGGACGUGCUAAUCUGCGAUAAGCGUCGGUAAGGUGAUAUGAACCGUUAUAACCGGCGAUUUCCGAAUGGGGAAACCCAGUGUGUUUCGACACACUAUCAUUAACUGAAUCCAUAGGUUAAUGAGGCGAACCGGGGGAACUGAAACAUCUAAGUACCCCGAGGAAAAGAAAUCAACCGAGAUUCCCCCAGUAGCGGCGAGCGAACGGGGAGCAGCCCAGAGCCUGAAUCAGUGUGUGUGUUAGUGGAAGCGUCUGGAAAGGCGCGCGAUACAGGGUGACAGCCCCGUACACAAAAAUGCACAUGCUGUGAGCUCGAUGAGUAGGGCGGGACACGUGGUAUCCUGUCUGAAUAUGGGGGGACCAUCCUCCAAGGCUAAAUACUCCUGACUGACCGAUAGUGAACCAGUACCGUGAGGGAAAGGCGAAAAGAACCCCGGCGAGGGGAGUGAAAAAGAACCUGAAACCGUGUACGUACAAGCAGUGGGAGCACGCUUAGGCGUGUGACUGCGUACCUUUUGUAUAAUGGGUCAGCGACUUAUAUUCUGUAGCAAGGUUAACCGAAUAGGGGAGCCGAAGGGAAACCGAGUCUUAACUGGGCGUUAAGUUGCAGGGUAUAGACCCGAAACCCGGUGAUCUAGCCAUGGGCAGGUUGAAGGUUGGGUAACACUAACUGGAGGACCGAACCGACUAAUGUUGAAAAAUUAGCGGAUGACUUGUGGCUGGGGGUGAAAGGCCAAUCAAACCGGGAGAUAGCUGGUUCUCCCCGAAAGCUAUUUAGGUAGCGCCUCGUGAAUUCAUCUCCGGGGGUAGAGCACUGUUUCGGCAAGGGGGUCAUCCCGACUUACCAACCCGAUGCAAACUGCGAAUACCGGAGAAUGUUAUCACGGGAGACACACGGCGGGUGCUAACGUCCGUCGUGAAGAGGGAAACAACCCAGACCGCCAGCUAAGGUCCCAAAGUCAUGGUUAAGUGGGAAACGAUGUGGGAAGGCCCAGACAGCCAGGAUGUUGGCUUAGAAGCAGCCAUCAUUUAAAGAAAGCGUAAUAGCUCACUGGUCGAGUCGGCCUGCGCGGAAGAUGUAACGGGGCUAAACCAUGCACCGAAGCUGCGGCAGCGACGCUGAUGCGUUGUUGGGUAGGGGAGCGUUCUGUAAGCCUGCGAAGGUGUGCUGUGAGGCAUGCUGGAGGUAUCAGAAGUGCGAAUGCUGACAUAAGUAACGAUAAAGCGGGUGAAAAGCCCGCUCGCCGGAAGACCAAGGGUUCCUGUCCAACGUUAAUCGGGGCAGGGUGAGUCGACCCCUAAGGCGAGGCCGAAAGGCGUAGUCGAUGGGAAACAGGUUAAUAUUCCUGUACUUGGUGUUACUGCGAAGGGGGGACGGAGAAGGCUAUGUUGGCCGGGCGACGGUUGUCCCGGUUUAAGCGUGUAGGCUGGUUUUCCAGGCAAAUCCGGAAAAUCAAGGCUGAGGCGUGAUGACGAGGCACUACGGUGCUGAAGCAACAAAUGCCCUGCUUCCAGGAAAAGCCUCUAAGCAUCAGGUAACAUCAAAUCGUACCCCAAACCGACACAGGUGGUCAGGUAGAGAAUACCAAGGCGCUUGAGAGAACUCGGGUGAAGGAACUAGGCAAAAUGGUGCCGUAACUUCGGGAGAAGGCACGCUGAUAUGUAGGUGAAGUCCCUCGCGGAUGGAGCUGAAAUCAGUCGAAGAUACCAGCUGGCUGCAACUGUUUAUUAAAAACACAGCACUGUGCAAACACGAAAGUGGACGUAUACGGUGUGACGCCUGCCCGGUGCCGGAAGGUUAAUUGAUGGGGUUAGCCGCAAGGCGAAGCUCUUGAUCGAAGCCCCGGUAAACGGCGGCCGUAACUAUAACGGUCCUAAGGUAGCGAAAUUCCUUGUCGGGUAAGUUCCGACCUGCACGAAUGGCGUAAUGAUGGCCAGGCUGUCUCCACCCGAGACUCAGUGAAAUUGAACUCGCUGUGAAGAUGCAGUGUACCCGCGGCAAGACGGAAAGACCCCGUGAACCUUUACUAUAGCUUGACACUGAACAUUGAGCCUUGAUGUGUAGGAUAGGUGGGAGGCUUUGAAGUGUGGACGCCAGUCUGCAUGGAGCCGACCUUGAAAUACCACCCUUUAAUGUUUGAUGUUCUAACGUUGACCCGUAAUCCGGGUUGCGGACAGUGUCUGGUGGGUAGUUUGACUGGGGCGGUCUCCUCCUAAAGAGUAACGGAGGAGCACGAAGGUUGGCUAAUCCUGGUCGGACAUCAGGAGGUUAGUGCAAUGGCAUAAGCCAGCUUGACUGCGAGCGUGACGGCGCGAGCAGGUGCGAAAGCAGGUCAUAGUGAUCCGGUGGUUCUGAAUGGAAGGGCCAUCGCUCAACGGAUAAAAGGUACUCCGGGGAUAACAGGCUGAUACCGCCCAAGAGUUCAUAUCGACGGCGGUGUUUGGCACCUCGAUGUCGGCUCAUCACAUCCUGGGGCUGAAGUAGGUCCCAAGGGUAUGGCUGUUCGCCAUUUAAAGUGGUACGCGAGCUGGGUUUAGAACGUCGUGAGACAGUUCGGUCCCUAUCUGCCGUGGGCGCUGGAGAACUGAGGGGGGCUGUUCCUAGUACGAGAGGACCGGAGUGGACGCAUCACUGGUGUUCGGGUUGUCAUGCCAAUGGCACUGCCCGGUAGCUAAAUGCGGAAGAGAUAAGUGCUGAAAGCAUCUAAGCACGAAACUUGCCCCGAGAUGAGUUCUCCCUGACUCCUUGAGAGUCCUGAAGGAACGUUGAAGACGACGACGUUGAUAGGCCGGGUGUGUAAGCGCAGCGAUGCGUUGAGCUAACCGGUACUAAUGAACCGUGAGGCUUAACCUUACAACGCCGAAGGUGUUU
This 2933-nucleotide ribosomal RNA is filed under the name Escherichia coli. RNAcentral's name for it is "23S ribosomal RNA". It matches the Rfam family "Bacterial large subunit ribosomal RNA". The record is from RNAcentral. Lineage: Bacteria; Pseudomonadati; Pseudomonadota; Gammaproteobacteria; Enterobacterales; Enterobacteriaceae.